CACAGCCAGGACUUAACAGGAGAGCAUGAGCAUCUUAAUUGACGCUGCUUGUUGUUGGGAAACACAAGCGAGGAGGUUAAAGAGAGCAAGCUGUGACGUCCAAGAGAGGAUUCAGCAGCUGAAGACGGGCCCGCGUUGGGUUCUGGAGGUUGGACGAAGAUGGGCCCUCGGUGGGUGCCGGAGGAUGGAGAAAAGAUGAUGAGGAGCAUCUGCCAAUGGAGGUUACGACAAAUGCAGAACAGGACACCUGAAAGACGGAUCUCUGGUAAUGAAG
Amblyraja radiata (thorny skate) is the source of this 274-nucleotide long non-coding RNA. RefSeq lists it as uncharacterized. The record is from RefSeq and is a predicted model, not a curated record. The transcript is spliced from 3 exons. Lineage: Eukaryota; Metazoa; Chordata; Chondrichthyes; Rajiformes; Rajidae.